ACAGAGAGGUUAGGCUGGCCUCAAUCAGAGCCAGGGCUUUUUGGCUGUGGCUUCGAUCUGGUGGAACGUUCUGUCACAAGAGACUAGGGCCCUGCGGGACUUGACAUCCUUCCACAGGACCUGCAAAACAGAGCUGUUCCACCAGGCCUCAGUGUUUACGUGGCUUUUUAGCCUGAUUGAAUUUUGUUAAUGCUUUUGUUUCAUCUAUAUUUUAAAAUUGUUUGUAAGUCCCUUUUUUUUUGCCUGUUGCACUUUUUAAUAAUAUUUAUUAGCAUUUUCAUUUUCAAAAAACACCAUACAAUUUUUACAUCUCUUAUCAUCUCCUAUAUUUGACACUCUCGAGUCGUCAACUUCCCCCAUCCCUCCAAACUUACUUUCUAGCUUCCAAUCAUAAUUUCAUCCACAUUUCUCAUUCCCCCUAUCUACCUUUCUUUUUGCUUUGAUAUUCCUUUUAAUUGUAAAUAAGUGUCUACUUUUGGCUAUCAAACCUUUAGCUCAAUCCUGUUAGUGUUGUUAAAUAUUUACAAUGUUCUUUCAAACACAUAAUAAAUUUACUCCAGUCUUUUUCAAACCGUUGGUCUCGCUGGUCUCAGAUUUUCCCAGACAGUUUUGCCAGUUCUACAUAUUAAAUCAUCUUAUUUUGCCAUUCUUCUACUAUCGGAAUUUCUUGCUGCUUCCAUUUCUGGGCUAACAAAAUCCUUGCCACUGUUGUAGCAUAUAAAAAUAGAGUAUAGUCUUACUUGGGAAUCUCUUCUCCUAGAAUACCUAGCAGGAAAGCUUCUGGUUUCUUAUAAAAAGUGUUUUUAAACACUUUCUUAAGUUUAAAAUUGUUUGUAAGUCCCUUUGAGCAAAUGGUAAAGUAACAUACCUUCCGUAAAUUAAUUUAUUUUCGUUUUCUUGCACACCUUGAUCUAGCAAAGAGUUCCAUGUUCAAAAGUAUUCUUCAGUGUGCAAAUGUUUGACUGGACAUAGCUCUGCAUACUCAGCCAAUGUGGCUACACUGGUUUGGAUCCAACUGAACUCGGUCAAUAUUCCGUUGUCCCAAAUGUGCAUUUCUAUCCUUGACCACUUUAAUAUUGAGCCUAAGACACUGUCUCUUUCUUUCCAUUAGCAUUGAUUAAUCAUCAAACGUACAACACAUUUUAUAAAUUGUUUUAUCCUGUAAUUGAGCAGUGGGAUCCAAUUAUGCCAUGUUUUCAUCAAGAACAUUCAAGCAUCAGUUUUCAUUCAACAGCGAAAAGAGGCAGUGGUGGGUGGUUGGGGAGAAUACUAUUAAAUCAUUAGGAUGCAUAUCUGAUUUUUAUAACUAUUGAACACACAAAAAUGAAAUCAUAUGUAGUUAUUAUGAGUUGAAACAUAUUCCUAAUAGUUUUCCUUCCUCCUGAUUUGAGCCAUUUAAAAUCUUUAAUAAGAAAUGCAUUCAAUGUAAUUUUCACAAGUGACGUGUCUGGAAGGAUAUUACAGGAUUUCGUUAAUCUCUGUUAAACCAACUAAUGUGGAAAUACUUUUUUUAAAAAAUCCUUUUUUGCUAUUUACGGCAUUUUUUCUUCUGCAAUCUGGCAUGCCAGUUUGAAAUGCAGACGGUUGAAGGCUGAUUUGUGAAAGGAUCUGCUAACAGUUCUUAAUAGCUAUAUAACAACUCAAGAGCAUUCGAAGGGCAACAGUCAAAUGUCUCUACAACUUUCUGCAUCACAGUUUGCAUGCUUACCUACAAUCACAUAGCAAUUCUCUGCCAAGUAUAUGAU
This 1745-nucleotide long non-coding RNA is filed under the name Podarcis lilfordi (Lilford's wall lizard). Lineage: Eukaryota; Metazoa; Chordata; Lepidosauria; Squamata; Lacertidae. The record is from RNAcentral.